This 274-nucleotide ribosomal RNA is filed under the name uncultured bacterium. RNAcentral describes it as "partial 16S ribosomal RNA". It matches the Rfam family "Bacterial small subunit ribosomal RNA", at positions 523 to 796 of the family's 1533-position model. The record is from RNAcentral.
AUACGGAGGGUGCAAGCGUUAAUCGGAAUUACUGGGCGUAAAGCGUACGUAGGCGGUUCGUUAAGUUAGAUGUGAAAGCCCGGGGCUUAACCUGGGAACUGCAUUUAAAACUGGCGAACUAGAGUUGAGUAGAGGGGAGUGGAAUUUCAGGUGUAGCGGUGAAAUGCGUAGAGAUCUGAAGGAACACCAGUGGCGAAGGCGACUCCCUGGACUCGAACUGACGCUGAGGUACGAAAGCGUGGGUAGCAAACGGGAUUAGAAACCCUAGUAGUCC